AUACGGAGGAUCCGAGCGUUAUCCGGAUUUAUUGGGUUUAAAGGGUGCGCAGGCGGCCAUUUAAGUCAGCGGUUAAAUCGUGGGGCUCAACCCCAUUCUGCCGUUGAUACUGGGUGGCUUGAUUGCGGUCGAGGUUGGCGGAAUUCGUUGUGUAGCGGGGAAAUGCAUAGAUAUGACGAAGAACACCGAUUGCGUAGGCAGCUGACCAGACCGCAAAUGACGCUCAUGCACGAAAGUGCGGGGAUCGAACAGGAUUAGAUACCCUGGUAGUCCGCACAGUAAACGAUGAAUACUUGUUUUCGGCGAUAUAAUGUCGGAGGCAAAGCGAAAGCGAUAAGUAUUCCACCUGGGGAGUACGCCGGCAACGGUGAAACUCAAAGGAAUUGGCGGGG
This 392-nucleotide ribosomal RNA is filed under the name uncultured bacterium. RNAcentral's name for it is "partial 16S ribosomal RNA". It matches the Rfam family "Bacterial small subunit ribosomal RNA", at positions 523 to 918 of the family's 1533-position model. The record is from RNAcentral.